AAGCCGGAGGAAGGUGGGGAUGACGUCAAGUCCUCAUGGCCCUUAUAGUGGGGCUACACACGUCAUACAAUGGCCGGUACAGAGGGUAGCCAACCCGCGAGGGGGAGCCAAUCCCACAAAGCCGGUCGUAGUCCGGAUCGCAGUCUGCAACUCGACUGCGUGAAGUCGGAAUCGCUAGUAAUCGCGGAUCAGCAUGUCGCGGUGAAUACGUUCCCGGGUCUU
RNAcentral lists this ribosomal RNA (222 nucleotides) under uncultured Allobrachymonas sp. Its description in RNAcentral is "uncultured Brachymonas sp. partial 16S ribosomal RNA". It matches the Rfam family "Bacterial small subunit ribosomal RNA", at positions 1160 to 1382 of the family's 1533-position model. The record is from RNAcentral. Lineage: Bacteria; Pseudomonadati; Pseudomonadota; Betaproteobacteria; Burkholderiales; Comamonadaceae.